UACGUAGGGUGCGAGCGUUAAUCGGAAUUACUGGGCGUAAAGCGCACGCAGGCGGCAUGGAAAGUCGUACGUGAAAGCUCCCGGCUUAACUGGGAGAGGACGUAGGAAACUCUCAUGCUUGAGAGAGUGAGAGGGAGGCGGAAUUCCCGGUGUAGUGGUGGAAUGCGUAGAGAUCGGGAAGAACACCAGUGGCGAAAGCGGCCUUCUGGCACUUAUCUGACGCUGAGGUGCGAAAGCGUGGGUAGCGAACGGG
Molecule: ribosomal RNA, 253 nt
Filed under: uncultured bacterium
Lineage: Bacteria
Description: partial 16S ribosomal RNA
Rfam family: Bacterial small subunit ribosomal RNA
Source: RNAcentral